UCUGCGGCAACAGCACCACUACUCGCGGCGGCAGUUUGCCUUAGACUGGCCUUUUUUGGAAAGUUUUUGCCGGUUUUGGUGAGUUUUAUACCCAUCCUGCGAGAAAACAAGUUAGGGGGUCUCGGUUUGCCCAAAAAAGUUGAAAAAUAAAAACUUACCAGCAGCGGGAUUUUCUGGUACGGUGGCUCACCUUCGCGGUUGGGUGUUUUUUUUUUGUCAACUUGUAGAAAACAGAAUGGUGAAUACAAUGGUGAAAAAAUAACAUAAAAUGGGAAUCGAAAAGGAGCUUAUAGGAGGCGAUUUUUAAUUUUGCCCGCGGUGGCAUCGCCAGGCUUUACCCGCAGUUUUCGGCUCAUCCGCCGAUUCUUUUGCUCUGAUUUGAUCAUGGGGGUGUUCAAAAUCAAAUUUCAAGUGAAUGAGAGAAUUUUUACUUUUUUUAGCGGUCGAAUGUGGCUCUGGCGCGGCAGCAGGCUGCUCCCUUCUCUGGAGACUGGUUAUUCUUCUCCGACAAGAGACUGGCGGCU
Molecule: long non-coding RNA, 524 nt
Filed under: Carica papaya (papaya)
Lineage: Eukaryota; Viridiplantae; Streptophyta; Magnoliopsida; Brassicales; Caricaceae
Description: long non-coding RNA (CPAP_LNC006973)
Source: RNAcentral